UACGUAGGGUGCAAGCGUUAAUCGGAAUUACUGGGCGUAAAGCGUGCGCAGGCGGUUGUGCAAGACAGAUGUGAAAUCCCCGGGCUCAACCUGGGAACUGCAUUUGUGACUGCAUGGCUAGAGUACGGCAGAGGGGGAUGGAAUUCCGCGUGUAGCAGUGAAAUGCGUAGAUAUGCGGAGGAACACCGAUGGCGAAGGCAAUCCCCUGGGCCUGUACUGACGCUCAUGCACGAAAGCGUGGGGAGCAAACAGG
Molecule: ribosomal RNA, 253 nt
Filed under: uncultured bacterium
Lineage: Bacteria
Description: partial 16S ribosomal RNA
Rfam family: Bacterial small subunit ribosomal RNA
Source: RNAcentral